GGAAGUAAAAGUCGUAACAAGGUCUCCGUAGGUGAACCUGCGGAGGGAUCAUUACAAGUGACCCCGGUCUAACCACCGGGAUGUUCAUAACCCUUUGUUGUCCGACUCUGUUGCCUCCGGGGCGACCCUGCCUUCGGGCGGGGGCUCCGGGUGGACACUUCAAACUCUUGCGUAACUUUGCAGUCUGAGUAAACUUAAUUAAUAAAUUAAAACUUUUAACAACGGAUCUCUUGGUUCUGGCAUCGAUGAAGAACGCAGCGAGAUGCGAUAAGUAAUGUGAAUUGCAGAAUUCAGUGAAUCAUCGAAUCUUUGAACGCACAUUGCGCCCCCUGGUAUUCCGGGGGGCAUGACUGUUCGAGCGUCAUUUCACCACUCAAGCCUCGCUUGGUAUUGGGCAACGCGGUCCGCCGCGUGCCUACCUCGGCGAGGCCUCACCGGCUUUAGGCGUAGUAGAAUUUAUUCGAACGUCUGUCAAAGGAGAGGAACUCUGCCGAUUGAAACCUUUAUUUUUCUAGGUUGACCUCGGAUCAGGUAGGGAUACCCGCUGAACUUAAGCAUAUCAAUAAGCGGAGGA
Molecule: ribosomal RNA, 574 nt
Filed under: Pteris vittata (Chinese brake)
Lineage: Eukaryota; Viridiplantae; Streptophyta; Polypodiopsida; Polypodiales; Pteridaceae
Description: eukaryotic LSU rRNA
Rfam family: 5.8S ribosomal RNA (bases 211-364)
Source: RNAcentral